UAAGCCUGAUGAAAAAGAAUGUAAAAUGAUGCCAGAUAAAAGACUUGCAACACGCAUGAAUGGGGCCAGAAAACAAAGCCCGCAAGAGUGCCGAUAUACUCUCCAUAUACCCUCUCUAUACUCCAUUUAUAAACAGUUAAAAGCAAUAAGAAAACGUACAAACGGAGCUGACAACAUAUGCCUCAAAUAGAGACCCCCAUGGAUGUCGAUGUUUAUUUAUGCUUGAGUCAGAAAUUAAGAUCCUUUUUAGCUGACGACGCAGUUUGUCGCCGAUAUGCGAGUCCUUGUGAAUGAGAGGGCACAAUUUAUGCCAAGUGCUUGGGGCGGGAUGCGCACACUCUGGAGCACACACUUCCGGCACGGCCACAUCAGGCUUGACUUGACUUGACUCCACAAACUUGGCUAGUCUCUUGAAGAGGAGCAGCAGCAGCAGCUGGCAGCUAACUGGGCGUGGCUACGCCCUGAUGUCUCAGGCAUGCAGUAGAGAGCACUGUUAACAAUUCAGGACACAAAGGCGAGCGCCCGCUGACAGAAGAGUAUGCAGCAAUAAUGUUAAUAAUAAUAAUAACAAUAAUCAGCUGCCUCUGCCGCAAUUUGACUUACCACACGAGGGACACAUAAAGACGUUGCCGCUCCCACACUGGAGCUACGAGUCGAGGCAUGCAGCAUUCUUUGGAUACAAACUCAUCAUAGUUUUCUGAGACUGAAGACCUAAUCAACUGCUAGAGACCCCUACAUUGGAAAGCAGAGUUUCCUCCAACUUAACGAACAAGCUCUUGACUCCCAGCCACUUUCUUUCUUAUGACUAUCUCCUCUUGUUGCACAUCUUUUCCUUCUGAUCCUUAUUUCUUACUCAAAUCCAUCUUAAGCACCACACUCAGCUAUGAAAAAGGUUUUCGGUAUCAAAUCCCAGGCCUAGUUUAAGGUAUUUGCCCAAAAGCUUAUCUAUUCAAGUUGUUGCUGCCCCUAACCUAAAGCAGCUCCUGAUUUAACUAAAUGUAUGCUCACUCGCAGGCUGCAGUUAACAGAAAUCCGGUAACAAAUUUUCAGUAAAAAGCUAAUUUAUUAAUGCAAUGAUUCAUGGUAUUCAUGGGUAUUCACUUAAGUGAAUAUUAUUGCGAGCAAAAUAAAAGAUGAAAUAAUGCCGCUAAAUCAAUAAAAGUUUCCAGGGCUUAAAACCAGCCGGAAAGUGUCCUUGUGCGCCUCUCAAUGGCAGUUGGCGACAGUCGCUAAGUCGCUAGGCUUUACAAAAUAUGCCGAUAUCCUUCUUCUUUUUUUUUGGUAUUUUUCGUAAAUGUUUUCGUGUUUGCUUUUUGGACGCGUUGCAUCGCUUGUUGAGGCAUUUUUAUUGACUUACUUUCGAGUGGCAACGGAAAAGUUU
Long non-coding RNA from Drosophila novamexicana, 1381 nucleotides. RefSeq lists it as uncharacterized. Lineage: Eukaryota; Metazoa; Arthropoda; Insecta; Diptera; Drosophilidae. The record is from RefSeq and is a predicted model, not a curated record. The transcript is spliced from 8 exons.